This 253-nucleotide ribosomal RNA is filed under the name uncultured bacterium. RNAcentral's name for it is "partial 16S ribosomal RNA". It matches the Rfam family "Bacterial small subunit ribosomal RNA", at positions 524 to 776 of the family's 1533-position model. The record is from RNAcentral.
UACGUAGGGUGCGAGCGUUGUCCGGAAUUAUUGGGCGUAAAGAGCUCGUAGGCGGUUUGUCGCGUCGGCCGUGAAAUCUCCACGCUUAACGUGGAGCGUGCGGUCGAUACGGGCAGACUUGAGUUCGGUAGGGGAGACUGGAAUUCCUGGUGUAGCGGUGAAAUGCGCAGAUAUCAGGAGGAACACCGGUGGCGAAGGCGGGUCUCUGGGCCGAUACUGACACUGAGGAGCGAAAGCGUGGGGAGCGAACAGG